Molecule: transfer RNA, 69 nt
Filed under: Neopagetopsis ionah
Lineage: Eukaryota; Metazoa; Chordata; Actinopteri; Perciformes; Channichthyidae
Description: tRNA-His
Rfam family: tRNA
About the family: Transfer RNA (tRNA) molecules are approximately 80 nucleotides in length.
Source: RNAcentral
GUAGGUAUCGUUUAAACAAGACAUCAGAUUGUGAUUCUGAAAAUAAGGGUUAAAACCCCUUUACCCACC